RNAcentral lists this long non-coding RNA (581 nucleotides) under Nicotiana benthamiana. Its description in RNAcentral is "long non-coding RNA (NBEN_LNC037321)". The record is from RNAcentral. Lineage: Eukaryota; Viridiplantae; Streptophyta; Magnoliopsida; Solanales; Solanaceae.
CAUUUAUCUAGUUCUCCCCAAAGUAGGAGUCUCGCUUGGGUACCUCUUUAUGGAUGAACUUCAAAGGGCUGUCGCUCCAUUUCUUCAUGCAUCGGGGGAGGGAGGCGCCCCUUACUGUAGAAGAAGAUCGACGAACAAAGAUAGUCGACUUACAGGAGAGGAGCGAGUGCUUGUUUAAAACGUACUAACUGAGAGAUUCAUCUAUCCUGACUUUCAAGUCGUGCUUGAUUGAGUGUUAACAAUCGGUUACAGCCAACAUUCGUUAACUAGUGAUGAAGAAGGAAAAUUUAUAUAUAUAUAAUGCAUUUUAAUGGCUGAUCUAGCAUUGAGGUGUUCAGGGGAACCAGAAAGUGGGACUACCCGAAGGCUGGGUCUUCAUUUUCGCAGCCCGGACCGUCUUUCGAUGGGCCGCUGAACCGUCUCUGCCGCAUCCUGUUACUGCCUUUGGAUUAGGCGAUUGCCCGUCCGUCUUCAGGCUGACAAUGCUCUCAAAGCCCUUACGAUCGCUAGCCAAGAGAGAAGCUCCGAGCUAACAAAGGUAGAAUAAGGAUGAAGGUAGGCAGGCGAGUAGAAGGAUAGCU